CACAGCGAAAGCUGUACUAAUACCGCAUGAGACCACGGGGAGACAUCUUUCUGAGGUCAAAGGAGCAAUCCGGUAAGGGGUGGGCUCGCGUCCGAUUAGAUAGUUGGUGAGGUAACGGCCCACCAAGUCGACGAUCGGUAGCCGACCUGAGAGGGUGAUCGGCCACAUUGGGACUGAGACACGGCCCAAACUCCUACGGGAGGCAGCAGUGGGGAAUAUUGGGCAAUGGGGGGAACCCUGACCCAGCAACGCCGCGUGAGGGAAGAAGGUUUUCGGAUCGUAAACCUCUGUCCUUGGUGAAGAGUAAGAGACGGUAGCCAAGGAGGAAGCCCCGGCUAACUACGUGCCAGCAGCCGCGGUAAUACGUAGGGGGCGAGCGUUGUCCGGAAUGAUUGGGCGUAAAGGGCGCGUAGGCGGCCCGGUAAGUCUGGAGUGAAAGUCCUGCUUUUAAGGUGGGAAUUGCUUUGGAUACUGUCGGGCUUGAGUGCAGGAGAGGUAAGUGGAAUUCCCAGUGUAGCGGUGAAAUGCGUAGAGAUUGGGAGGAACACCAGUGGCGAAGGCGACUUACUGGACUGUAACUGACGCUGAGGCGCGAAAGUGUGGGGAGCAAACAGGAUUAGAUACCCUGGUAGUCCACACUGUAAACGAUGAAUGCUAGGUGUAGGGGGUAUCGACCCCUUCUGUGCCGCAGUAAACACAAUAAGCAUUCCGCCUGGGGAGUACGGCCGCAAGGUUGAAACUCAAAGGAAUUGACGGAGGCCCGCACAAGCAGCGGAGCAUGUGGUUUAAUUCGACGCAACGCGAAGAACCUUACCAGGUCUUGACAUCCAGUUAAAGCCGUAGAGAUACGGUGUGUGCUUGCACAAACUGAGACAGGUGGUGCAUGGUUGUCGUCAGCUCGUGUCGUGAGAUGUUGGGUUAAGUCCCGCAACGAGCGCAACCCUUACUUUCAGUUACUAACACGUAGAGGUGAGGACUCUGAAGGGACUGCCGGGGACAACUCGGAGGAAGGUGGGGACGACGUCAAAUCAUCAUGCCCCUUAUGACCUGGGCUACACACGUGCUACAAUGGCCACCACAGAGAGGAGCGAACCUGCAAGGGGGAGCG
This 1108-nucleotide ribosomal RNA is filed under the name uncultured bacterium. Its description in RNAcentral is "bacterial SSU rRNA". It matches the Rfam family "Bacterial small subunit ribosomal RNA", at positions 147 to 1269 of the family's 1533-position model. The record is from RNAcentral.